ACUCCUACGGGAGGCAGCAGUGGGGAAUUUUGGACAAUGGGGGCAACCCUGAUCCAGCCAUGCCGCGUGAGUGAAGAAGGCCUUCGGGUUGUAAAGCUCUUUCGGCCGGGAAGAAAUCGUGUUCUCUAACAUAGGACAUGGAUGACGGUACCGGACUAAGAAGCACCGGCUAACUACGUGCCAGCAGCCGCGGUAAUACGUAGGGUGCGAGCGUUAAUCGGAAUUACUGGGCGUAAAGCGUGCGCAGGCGGUUUUAUAAGACAGAUGUGAAAUCCCCGGGCUUAACCUGGGAACUGCGUUUGUGACUGCAAGGCUAGAGUACGGCAGAGGGGGGUGGAAUUCCUGGUGUAGCAGUGAAAUGCGUAGAUAUCAGGAGGAACACCGAUGGCGAAGGCAGCCCCCUGGGCCUGUACUGACGCUCAUGCACGAAAGCGUGGGGAGCAAACAGGAUUAGAUACCCUGGUAGUC
RNAcentral lists this ribosomal RNA (468 nucleotides) under uncultured bacterium. RNAcentral describes it as "bacterial SSU rRNA". It matches the Rfam family "Bacterial small subunit ribosomal RNA", at positions 335 to 795 of the family's 1533-position model. The record is from RNAcentral.